RNAcentral lists this ribosomal RNA (513 nucleotides) under uncultured Comamonas sp. Its description in RNAcentral is "bacterial SSU rRNA". It matches the Rfam family "Bacterial small subunit ribosomal RNA", at positions 18 to 526 of the family's 1533-position model. The record is from RNAcentral. Lineage: Bacteria; Pseudomonadati; Pseudomonadota; Betaproteobacteria; Burkholderiales; Comamonadaceae.
CCUGGUUCAGAUUGAACGCUGGCGGCAUGCUUUACACAUGCAAGUCGAACGGCGGCACGGACUUCGGUCUGGUGGCGAGUGGCGAACGGGUGAGUAAUACAUCGGAACGUGCCCAGUUGUGGGGGAUAACUACUCGAAAGAGUAGCUAAUACCGCAUGAGAACUGAGGUUGAAAGCAGGGGAUCGUAAGACCUUGCGCAACUGGAGCGGCCGAUGGCAGAUUAGGUAGUUGGUGGGAUAAAAGCUUACCAAGCCGACGAUCUGUAGCUGGUCUGAGAGGACGACCAGCCACACUGGGACUGAGACACGGCCCAGACUCCUACGGGAGGCAGCAGUGGGGAAUUUUGGACAAUGGGCGAAAGCCUGAUCCAGCAAUGCCGCGUGCAGGAUGAAGGCCUUCGGGUUGUAAACUGCUUUUGUACGGAACGAAAAGCUUCGGGUUAAUACCCUGGAGUCAUGACGGUACCGUAAGAAUAAGCACCGGCUAACUACGUGCCAGCAGCCGCGGUAAUAC